Molecule: long non-coding RNA, 1464 nt
Filed under: Coturnix japonica (Japanese quail)
Lineage: Eukaryota; Metazoa; Chordata; Aves; Galliformes; Phasianidae
Description: lncRNA (ENSCJPG00005001989.1)
Source: RNAcentral
AUGCGCAGCUGUCGGCCAUGCCGAAAGGAGCCAAAAGUGCCGCGGUCCGAGAGGAGGAAUGGAAGGGGGACGAGGAAGGGAACGGUUGAGAACAUCUUCAGUGCGUUGAGCUUGGAGGACGAGGAAGAGGAGGAGGAGGAGGAAGGAAACCGGCCCCAUAGAAAGAAGGACGAGGAAGAAGAGGAGGAAGAUGGGAGGAAGAAGAAGAACAGGAAGAAUGAAAAGAACUGCAGCAGGCGGCAGAACCAAUUUGCUGCUUUGGGCUCCGACGAAGGGGAGGAAGAAGAAGAGGAAGAAGCCGAAAAACCCGGAAGUCCCGCCCCUAAAAUAGACCCCGCCCCCGGAAGUCCCACCCCCGGAAGUCCAACCCCCAAAGAGGAAGAGGAAGUGGGGGGAAAAAAGGCCCAAAUCAGUAAAAAGGAAAGGAAAAAGAUGAAGAAACAGGUGGGUGGGCGGGACUUCCGGGGGGUGGGACUUCCGGGUGGGCGCGACUUCCGGGUGGGUGGGACUUCCGGGUGGGCGGGACUUCCGGCGGGUGGGAUUUCCGGGUGAGCGCGACUUCCGGGGGUGGGACUUCCGGGAGGGGUUUACUUUAUGGGUGGGACUUCCGGGGGGGUGUGGCAUAUCACCGGAAGUGCAUUGUGUAUAUGACCAAAAGGGGCGUGGCUUAGUACAGAAAGAGAGUUUGACCACGUGUCCGGAAGUGGGCGUGGCUUAAGACAGGAAGUGGUUAUUGCGCAUAGCCGGAAGUGGGCGUGGCUUAUGGAAAAUAACUGGCAGUGUAACCGGAAGUGGGCGUGGCUUAAGACAGAAAGCGACGAGUACAUACCCGGAAGUGGGCGUGACUUACUGCCGGAAAUGAAACCCAACAUAACCGGAAGUGGCGCUGCUUACAACAGGAAGCGGUCGUGCAAAACCGAAAGUGGGCGUGGCUUACGACAGGAAGUGGGCGUGUGUUGGGACCGGAAAUGGUGUCCCACGUGACAGGAAGUAGGCAUAGUGUUAUGCAUACCCGGAAGUGGGCGUGGCUUACGACAGGAAGUGGGCGUCUUGGGACCGGAAAUGGUGUCCCACGUGACAGGAAGUAGACAUAGUGUUGCGCAUAACCGGAAGUGGGUGUGGCUUACGACAGGAAGUGGGCGUGUGUUGGGACCGGAAAUGGUUUCCCACGUGACAGGAAGUAGACAUAGUGUUGUGCGUACCCGGAAGUGGGCGUGGCUUAGGACAGGAAGUAGGAGCCACGUGACAGGAAGCGAGCGUUGCUUACAACAGGAAGUGGGAGUCACGUGACAGGAAGUGGUCCCCCACGUGACAGGAAGUGGGCGUGUCCUGACGUGUCCCCUCCCCCUAUAGCUGGAUUACCAGCGCCAGGUGGCCACGAUGGCGGCGGCCGCGGCCGACAGCGACUUCGCGGUGUCUCAGGCCGACGGGUCCUCGCGGCACGCGGCGCUCGACAACGCCGCC